UACAGAGGUCUCAAGCGUUGUUCGGAUUCAUUGGGCGUAAAGGGUGCGUAGGCGGCGCGGUAAGUCGGGUGUGAAAUCUCGGGGCUUAACUCCGAAACUGCAUUCGAUACUGCCGUGCUUGAGGACUGGAGAGGAGACUGGAAUUUACGGUGUAGCGGUGAAAUGCGUAGAUAUCGUAAGGAAGACCAGUGGCGAAGGCGGGUCUCUGGACAGUCCCUGACGCUGAGGCACGAAGGUCAGGGGAGCAAACGGG
RNAcentral lists this ribosomal RNA (253 nucleotides) under uncultured bacterium. RNAcentral's name for it is "partial 16S ribosomal RNA". It matches the Rfam family "Bacterial small subunit ribosomal RNA", at positions 524 to 776 of the family's 1533-position model. The record is from RNAcentral.